RNAcentral lists this ribosomal RNA (2924 nucleotides) under Escherichia coli. RNAcentral's name for it is "bacterial LSU rRNA". It matches the Rfam family "Bacterial large subunit ribosomal RNA". Lineage: Bacteria; Pseudomonadati; Pseudomonadota; Gammaproteobacteria; Enterobacterales; Enterobacteriaceae. The record is from RNAcentral.
GGGUUGUGAGGUUAAGCGACUAAGCGUACACGGUGGAUGCCCUGGCAGUCAGAGGCGAUGAAGGACGUGCUAAUCUGCGAUAAGCGUCGGUGAGGUGAUAUGAACCGUUAUAACCGGCGAUUUCCGAAUGGGGAAACCCAGUGUGUUUCGACACACUAUCAUUAACUGAAUCCAUAGGUUAAUGAGGCGAACCGGGGGAACUGAAACAUCUAAGUACCCCGAGGAAAAGAAAUCAACCGAGAUUCCCCAGUAGCGGCGAGCGAACGGGGAGGAGCCCAGAGCCUGAAUCAGUGUGUGUGUUAGUGGAAGCGUCUGGAAAGGCGCGCGAUACAGGGUGACAGCCCCGUACACAAAAAUGCACAUAUUGUGAGCUCGAUGAGUAGGGCGGGACACGUGGUAUCCUGUCUGAAUAUGGGGGGACCAUCCUCCAAGGCUAAAUACUCCUGACUGACCGAUAGUGAACCAGUACCGUGAGGGAAAGGCGAAAAGAACCCCGGCGAGGGGAGUGAAAAAGAACCUGAAACCGUGUACGUACAAGCAGUGGGAGCCUCUUUAUGGGGUGACUGCGUACCUUUUGUAUAAUGGGUCAGCGACUUAUAUUCUGUAGCAAGGUUAACCGAAUAGGGGAGCCGAAGGGAAACCGAGUCUUAACUGGGCGUUAAGUUGCAGGGUAUAGACCCGAAACCCGGUGAUCUAGCCAUGGGCAGGUUGAAGGUUGGGUAACACUAACUGGAGGACCGAACCGACUAAUGUUGAAAAAUUAGCGGAUGACUUGUGGCUGGGGGUGAAAGGCCAAUCAAACCGGGAGAUAGCUGGUUCUCCCCGAAAGCUAUUUAGGUAGCGCCUCGUGAAUUCAUCUCCGGGGGUAGAGCACUGUUUCGGCAAGGGGGUCAUCCCGACUUACCAACCCGAUGCAAACUGCGAAUACCGGAGAAUGUUAUCACGGGAGACACACGGCGGGUGCUAACGUCCGUCGUGAAGAGGGAAACAACCCAGACCGCCAGCUAAGGUCCCAAAGUCAUGGUUAAGUGGGAAACGAUGUGGGAAGGCCCAGACAGCCAGGAUGUUGGCUUAGAAGCAGCCAUCAUUUAAAGAAAGCGUAAUAGCUCACUGGUCGAGUCGGCCUGCGCGGAAGAUGUAACGGGGCUAAACCAUGCACCGAAGCUGCGGCAGCGACACUAUGUGUUGUUGGGUAGGGGAGCGUUCUGUAAGCCUGUGAAGGUGGCCUGUGAGGGUUGCUGGAGGUAUCAGAAGUGCGAAUGCUGACAUAAGUAACGAUAAAGCGGGUGAAAAGCCCGCUCGCCGGAAGACCAAGGGUUCCUGUCCAACGUUAAUCGGGGCAGGGUGAGUCGACCCCUAAGGCGAGGCCGAAAGGCGUAGUCGAUGGGAAACAGGUUAAUAUUCCUGUACUUGGUGUUACUGCGAAGGGGGGACGGAGAAGGCUAUGUUGGCCGGGCGACGGUUGUCCCGGUUUAAGCGUGUAGGCUGGUUUUCCAGGCAAAUCCGGAAAACCAAGGCUGAGGCGUGAUGACGAGGCACUACGGUGCUGAAGCGACAAAUGCCCUGCUUCCAGGAAAAGCCUCUAAGCAUCAGGUAACAUCAAAUCGUACCCCAAACCGACACAGGUGGUCAGGUAGAGAAUACCAAGGCGCUUGAGAGAACUCGGGUGAAGGAACUAGGCAAAAUGGUGCCGUAACUUCGGGAGAAGGCACGCUGAUAUGUAGGUGAAGCGACUUGCUCGUGGAGCUGAAAUCAGUCGAAGAUACCAGCUGGCUGCAACUGUUUAUUAAAAACACAGCACUGUGCAAACACGAAAGUGGACGUAUACGGUGUGACGCCUGCCCGGUGCCGGAAGGUUAAUUGAUGGGGUUAGCGGUAACGCGAAGCUCUUGAUCGAAGCCCCGGUAAACGGCGGCCGUAACUAUAACGGUCCUAAGGUAGCGAAAUUCCUUGUCGGGUAAGUUCCGACCUGCACGAAUGGCGUAAUGAUGGCCAGGCUGUCUCCACCCGAGACUCAGUGAAAUUGAACUCGCUGUGAAGAUGCAGUGUACCCGCGGCAAGACGGAAAGACCCCGUGAACCUUUACUAUAGCUUGACACUGAACAUUGAGCCUUGAUGUGUAGGAUAGGUGGGAGGCUUUGAAGUGUGGACGCCAGUCUGCAUGGAGCCGACCUUGAAAUACCACCCUUUAAUGUUUGAUGUUCUAACGUUGGCCCGUAAUCCGGGUUGCGGACAGUGUCUGGUGGGUAGUUUGACUGGGGCGGUCUCCUCCUAAAGAGUAACGGAGGAGCACGAAGGUUGGCUAAUCCUGGUCGGACAUCAGGAGGUUAGUGCAAUGGCAUAAGCCAGCUUGACUGCGAGCGUGACGGCGCGAGCAGGUGCGAAAGCAGGUCAUAGUGAUCCGGUGGUUCUGAAUGGAAGGGCCAUCGCUCAACGGAUAAAAGGUACUCCGGGGAUAACAGGCUGAUACCGCCCAAGAGUUCAUAUCGACGGCGGUGUUUGGCACCUCGAUGUCGGCUCAUCACAUCCUGGGGCUGAAGUAGGUCCCAAGGGUAUGGCUGUUCGCCAUUUAAAGUGGUACGCGAGCUGGGUUUAGAACGUCGUGAGACAGUUCGGUCCCUAUCUGCCGUGGGCGCUGGAGAACUGAGGGGGGCUGCUCCUAGUACGAGAGGACCGGAGUGGACGCAUCACUGGUGUUCGGGUUGUCAUGCCAAUGGCACUGCCCGGUAGCUAAAUGCGGAAGAGAUAAGUGCUGAAAGCAUCUAAGCACGAAACUUGCCCCGAGAUGAGUUCUCCCUGACUCCUUGAGAGUCCUGAAGGAACGUUGAAGACGACGACGUUGAUAGGCCGGGUGUGUAAGCGCAGCGAUGCGUUGAGCUAACCGGUACUAAUGAACCGUGAGGCUUAACCUUACAACGCCGAAG